AUGGCUGCCAUGCGUGUCGACCGCCAGAUCUUGGAGGAGCACCUCGUCUUCGAGGCCACCGUCGACACCGCCACACGGGAAACAAUGAGAGACACUGCGGUUUACCAUCGAGGUCCUGUUGUAAAAGGCUUAGACCCACUGUUCGACCCAUUUUGCAUAUGGGGAAAUGAGAUGUCCAUGAAUAUCAGCCAAGUUAAGAAACUCAGAAAGAUUGUUAGGAUGAAGAAACUUGCGACGAAUAAUAGCAAGAUCUUUGUUUGCAAAAUGAAGGUGACAUCAGUCAACUAUAGGAUGCUCACCGAUGAUCACCUCUCAAACCACCUGCAUGGUCAAGAAGCGAGGAAGGCUAAUUACCCUGCUUAUUUGGGGUUUUCUAUUGCAGACGGUUACUCAGACAGCACCAUGGGCUAUGAACUCAAACAACCAACAUGGUUUCUAGAAAGUAGAACACUUGGAUGGCGCUGA
Molecule: ribosomal RNA, 465 nt
Filed under: Triticum aestivum (bread wheat)
Lineage: Eukaryota; Viridiplantae; Streptophyta; Magnoliopsida; Poales; Poaceae
Description: partial small subunit ribosomal RNA
Source: RNAcentral